Molecule: ribosomal RNA, 623 nt
Filed under: Lactococcus lactis
Lineage: Bacteria; Bacillati; Bacillota; Bacilli; Lactobacillales; Streptococcaceae
Description: bacterial SSU rRNA
Rfam family: Bacterial small subunit ribosomal RNA
Source: RNAcentral
UGGUACUUGUACCGACUGGAUGAGCAGCGAACGGGUGAGUAACGCGUGGGGAAUCUGCCUUUGAGCGGGGGACAACAUUUGGAAACGAAUGCUAAUACCGCAUAAAAACUUUAAACACAAGUUUUAAGUUUGAAAGAUGCAAUUGCAUCACUCAAAGAUGAUCCCGCGUUGUAUUAGCUAGUUGGUGAGGUAAAGGCUCACCAAGGCGAUGAUACAUAGCCGACCUGAGAGGGUGAUCGGCCACAUUGGGACUGAGACACGGCCCAAACUCCUACGGGAGGCAGCAGUAGGGAAUCUUCGGCAAUGGACGAAAGUCUGACCGAGCAACGCCGCGUGAGUGAAGAAGGUUUUCGGAUCGUAAAACUCUGUUGGUAGAGAAGAACGUUGGUGAGAGUGGAAAGCUCAUCAAGUGACGGUAACUACCCAGAAAGGGACGGCUAACUACGUGCCAGCAGCCGCGGUAAUACGUAGGUCCCGAGCGUUGUCCGGAUUUAUUGGGCGUAAAGCGAGCGCAGGUGGUUUAUUAAGUCUGGUGUAAAAGGCAGUGGCUCAACCAUUGUAUGCAUUGGAAACUGGUAGACUUGAGUGCAGGAGAGGAGAGUGGAAUUCCAUGUGUAGCGGUG